CCUGUUGAUCCUGCCGGACUGACUGCUAUCGGAUUGGUACUAAGCCAUGCGAGUCGUUGUAGCAAUACAAGGCGGACUGCUCAGUAACACGUAGUUAACUUAACCUAUGGAUGGGCAUAACCUCGGGAAACUGAGAAUAAUACCCAAUGGACCACAGUGCCUGGAAUGGCCUGUGGUUGAAAUGAUUUAUCGCCGUAGGAUAGGACUGCGGCCUAUCAGCUUGUUGGUGAGGUAAUGGCCCACCAAGGCUAUAACAGGUACGGGCUCUGAGAGGAGGGGCCCGGAGAUGGGUACUGAGACACGGACCCAGGCCCUAUGGGGCGCAGCAGGCGAGAAACCUUUGCAAUGUGCGAAAGCACGACAAGGUUAAUCCGAGUGUCUCCUGCUAAAGGAGUCUUUUAUCAGUUGUAGAAUCACUGGUGAAUAAGGGGUGGGCAAGUUCUGGUGUCAGCCGCCGCGGUAAAACCAGCACCUCGAGUGGUCAGGAGGUUUAUUGGGCCUAAAGCAUCCGUAGCCGGUUGCAUAAGUUUUCGGUUAAAUCUAUGCGCUUAACGUAUAGGCCGCCGAAAAUACUGUGCAGCUAGGGAGUGGGAGAGGUACACGGUACUCGAUAGGAAGGGGUA
Molecule: ribosomal RNA, 623 nt
Filed under: uncultured archaeon
Lineage: Archaea
Description: bacterial SSU rRNA
Rfam family: Archaeal small subunit ribosomal RNA
Source: RNAcentral